RNAcentral lists this ribosomal RNA (337 nucleotides) under uncultured bacterium. Its description in RNAcentral is "bacterial SSU rRNA". It matches the Rfam family "Bacterial small subunit ribosomal RNA", at positions 150 to 507 of the family's 1533-position model. The record is from RNAcentral.
GAGGAAACUCGAGCUAAUACCGGAUGUCUUCUUCUGAUCGCAUGGUCGGAUGAAGAAAGAUUUAUCGCUUCGGGAGGGUCUCGCGGCCUAUCAGCUAGUUGCGGGGUAAGGCCCACCAAGGCGUCGACGGGUAGCUGGUCUGAGAGGACGAUCAGCACACUGGGACUGAGACAGGCCCAGACUCCUACGGGAGGCAGCAGUGGGGAAUAUUGCGCAAUGGGCGAAAGCCUGACGCAGCAACGCCGCGUGCGGGAGUGAAGGCCUUCGGGUUGUAAACCGCUUUCAGUGGGGACGAAUUCAGACGGUACCCACAGAAGAAGCCCCGGCCAACUACGUG